Long non-coding RNA from Oncorhynchus keta (chum salmon), 1921 nucleotides. RefSeq lists it as uncharacterized. Lineage: Eukaryota; Metazoa; Chordata; Actinopteri; Salmoniformes; Salmonidae. The record is from RefSeq and is a predicted model, not a curated record. The transcript is spliced from 4 exons.
UCUGUUACUCUCCCCUGAACUAAAGGUUUAUGUCCAGUAGUUUGUAUCCUACUGAAAGAGAGAGUCUGUAGUCUGUUACUCUCCCCUGAACUAAGGGUUAAUGUCCAGUAGUUUGUAUCCUACUGAAAGAGAGAGUCUGUAGUCUGUUACUCUCCCCUGAACUAAAGGUUAAUGUCCAGUAGUUUGUAUCCUACUGAAAGGGAGAGUCUGUAGUCUGUUACUCUCCCCUGAACUAAAGGUUAAUGUCCAGUAGUUUGUAUCCUACUGAAAGAGAGAGUCUGUAGUCUGUUACUCUCCCCUGAACUAAAGGUUUAUGUCCAGUAGUUUGUAUCCUACUGAAAGAGAGAGUCUGUAGUCUGUUACUCUCCCCUGAACUAAAGGUUAAUGUCCAGUAGUUUGUAUCCUACUGAAAGAGAGAGUCUGUAGUCUGUUACUCUCCCCUGAACUAAAGGUUAAUGUCCAGUAGUUUGUAUCCUACUGAAAGAGAGAGUCUGUAGUCUGUUACUCUCCCCUGAACUAAAGGUUAAUGUCCAGUAGUUUGUAUCCUACUGAAAGGGAGAGUCUGUAGUCUGUUACUCUCCCCUGAACUAAGGGUUAAUGUCCAGUAGUUUGUAUCCUACUGAAAGAGAGAGUCUGUAGUCUGUUACUCUCCCCUGAACUAAAGGUUUAUGUCCAGUAGUUUGUAUCCUACUGAAAGGGAGAGUCUGUAGUCUGUUACUCUCCCCUGAACUAAGGGUUAAUGUCCAGUAGUUUGUAUCCUACUGAAAGAGAGAGUCUGAGAGUCUGUUACUCUCCCCUGAACUAAAGGUUAAUGUCCAGUAGUUUGUAUCCUACUGAAAGAGAGAGUCUGUAGUCUGUUACUCUCCCCUGAACUAAGGGUUAAUGUCCAGUAGUUUGUAUCCUACUGAAAGAGAGAGUCUGUAGUCUGUUACUCUCCCCUGAACUAAAGGUUAAUGUCCAGUAGUUUGUAUCCUACUGAAAGAGAGAGUCUGUAGUCUGUUACUCUCCCCUGAACUAAGGGUUAAUGUCCAGUAGUUUGUAUCCUACUGAAAGAGAGAGUCUGUAGUCUGUUACUCUCCCCUGAACUAAAGGUUAAUGUCCAGUAGUUUGUAUCCUACUGAAAGAGAGAGUCUGAGAGUCUGUUACUCUCCCCUGAACUAAAGGUUAAUGUCCAGUAGUUUGUAUCCUACUGAAAGAGAGAGUCUGUAGUCUGUUACUCUCCCCUGAACUAAGGGUUUAUGUCCAGUAGUUUGUAUCCUACUGAAAGAGAGAGUCUGUAGUCUGUUACUCUCCCCUGAACUAAAGGUUUAUGUCCAGUAGUUUGUAUCCUACUGAAAGGGAGAGUCUGUAGUCUGUUACUCUCCCCUGAACUAAAGGUUUAUGUCCAGUAGUUUGUAUCCUACUGAAAGAGAGAGUCUGUAGUCUGUUACUCUUCCCUGAACUAAAGGUUAAUGUCCAGUAGUUUGUAUCCUACUGAAAGAGAGAGUCUGUAGUCUGUUACUCUCCCCUGAACUAAAGGUUUAUGUCCAGUAGUUUGUAUCCUACUGAAAGAGAGAGUCUGUAGUCUGUUACUCUCCCCUGAACUAAAGGUUAAUGUCCAGUAGUUUGUAUCCUACUGAAAGGGAGAGUCUGUAGUCUGUUACUCUCCCCUGAACUAAAGGUUUAUGUCCAGUAGUUUGUAUCCUACUGAAAGGGAGAGUCUGUAGUCUGUUACUCUCCCCUGAACUAAAGGUUAAUGUCCAGUAGUUUGUAUCCUACUGAAAGAGAGAGUCUGUAGUCUGUUACUCUCCCCUGAACUAAAGGUUAAUGUCCAGUAGUUUGUAUCCUACUGAAAGAGAGAGUCUGUAGUCUGUUACUCUCCCCUGAACUAAAGGUUUAUGUCCAGUAGUUUGUAUCCUACUGAAAGGGAGAGUCUGUAGUC